Salvia splendens (bonfire salvia) is the source of this 806-nucleotide long non-coding RNA. RefSeq lists it as uncharacterized. The record is from RefSeq and is a predicted model, not a curated record. The transcript has 4 exons. NCBI's taxonomy places the organism in Eukaryota, Viridiplantae, Streptophyta, Magnoliopsida, Lamiales, Lamiaceae.
CAUCACACUAGUUCUCAAAGAACAAAACAAUGCUCCCUAUUUAUUAAAUUACUCCACCACCUACACGUCUCUCACUCUCAAAUUUUAUCUCAAAACAGCAACUUCCUCACUCUCUAAAAUUCACCAAAAUAUUAGAAGCAGAGUUCCCAUCUUCUUCCUCUCCUUCAAUCUCACUCUCCCUUUCUGUCUGUCAUCUUCUACAAUUCACCAAGAUAGAAACGAUCCCAACUCCCAACGAACUAAGAUUGGAAGAGAAAACAAGAAAACAAGCUCUAAUGAUAUUAAAGUUUGCAACUUUAUCAUUCAAAAUUUCCAGAAAUUCAACAAGAGUCUACUCGAUUUCGUGAACUACUAUGAGGAAUUGAAUGCAGAUACUACCAGGGACUGUGUAGAUAGCUUCCAGAAGAGGCAAAACUUGCAGAAGAGGAGAAACCAAUACCUCGAGUCCAACAGAGUGUGCCAUAUCUUGAGUUGCUGUGUUGCUGGCCACCUCAUCCAGUGGGAUCGAAGAGGGAAUUGCUAAUCGAGACAAAAUGCUGUUGGGUCCAAUCAGAGAAAAUUGUGGGCGUGCAAUUUGAAACCAAAAGGACAAAAUUGCAGUGAUCAUGAGUUCACGCAAAUCACUUUGAGUAGAAGUAUUAUCCACAACCACAUAGACAAGGUGAAACCAGAAACCACAUAUAGGCAUGUGGGAAGACGAUUUGAAAGAUGACAUCGAGAUAGCACUUUUGUCAUGUUUUCUAAGAAAUAGUCAUCUGUUUCUCAUAUCCUGGUUCAACUACUUAACAGGAAGAUAAAAUAACAUG